Molecule: long non-coding RNA, 426 nt
Organism: Papaver somniferum (opium poppy)
Lineage: Eukaryota; Viridiplantae; Streptophyta; Magnoliopsida; Ranunculales; Papaveraceae
Exons: 2
Source: RefSeq, a predicted model, not a curated record
GCAAGGGACCCGAAAAAGAAAAAUAUGAAAAACAAAUAAAGAGUUGAGGUUGGAACGUAGCUGCAUCAUCCAUUGUUACUUGGUUACACCAAUUUGUAUGUGAGAUCUGAUCUCGGUCUUCAGCUUCAGUGUUUUUUUGUUUUGUUUUGGAGAAUGGAGUACUGACUUUACAACCAAUGGUGGGCACAAUUUGUUGGAAGUUUGCGUCAUUGACAUGCCACAACUGCUGAAAUGGUAGUCAUUUGCAGAAUAUUUUUAAGAUCUUACAUACUUGGUAUCACUGAAUUAGAGAUGUUUAAAAUUUUUCGUAAAUUAAAAUAAUUUAGAGACAUUAACUUCUCCGUCACUACCCCAAAAGGCCAAUGUUUGUAGUUGUUGGAUAUUUAGGUUGGUUAUAUGAAUGGAUUGGUAUGAAUUUCACUUGAA